RNAcentral lists this ribosomal RNA (1035 nucleotides) under Salmonella enterica. RNAcentral's name for it is "bacterial SSU rRNA". It matches the Rfam family "Bacterial small subunit ribosomal RNA", at positions 1 to 1027 of the family's 1533-position model. The record is from RNAcentral. Lineage: Bacteria; Pseudomonadati; Pseudomonadota; Gammaproteobacteria; Enterobacterales; Enterobacteriaceae.
AAAUUGAAGAGUUUGAUCAUGGCUCAGAUUGAACGCUGGCGGCAGGCCUAACACAUGCAAGUCGAACGGUAGCACAGAGAGCUUGCUCUCGGGUGACGAGUGGCGGACGGGUGAGUAAUGUCUGGGAAACUGCCCGAUGGAGGGGGAUAACUACUGGAAACGGUAGCUAAUACCGCAUAACGUCGCAAGACCAAAGUGGGGGACCUUCGGGCCUCACACCAUCGGAUGUGCCCAGAUGGGAUUAGCUAGUAGGUGGGGUAACGGCUCACCUAGGCGACGAUCCCUAGCUGGUCUGAGAGGAUGACCAGCCACACUGGAACUGAGACACGGUCCAGACUCCUACGGGAGGCAGCAGUGGGGAAUAUUGCACAAUGGGCGCAAGCCUGAUGCAGCCAUGCCGCGUGUAUGAAGAAGGCCUUCGGGUUGUAAAGUACUUUCAGCGAGGAGGAAGGCGUUGUGGUUAAUAACCACAGCGAUUGACGUUACUCGCAGAAGAAGCACCGGCUAACUCCGUGCCAGCAGCCGCGGUAAUACGGAGGGUGCAAGCGUUAAUCGGAAUUACUGGGCGUAAAGCGCACGCAGGCGGUUUGUUAAGUCAGAUGUGAAAUCCCCGGGCUCAACCUGGGAACUGCAUUUGAAACUGGCAAGCUUGAGUCUCGUAGAGGGGGGUAGAAUUCCAGGUGUAGCGGUGAAAUGCGUAGAGAUCUGGAGGAAUACCGGUGGCGAAGGCGGCCCCCUGGACAAAGACUGACGCUCAGGUGCGAAAACGUGGGGAGCAAACAGGAUUAGAUACCCUGGUAGUCCACGCCGUAAACGAUGUCUACUUGGAGGUUGUGCCCUUGAGGCGUGGCUUCCGGAGCUAACGCGUUAAGUAGACCGCCUGGGGAGUACGGCCGCAAGGUUAAAACUCAAAUGAAUUGACGGGGGCCCGCACAAGCGGUGGAGCAUGUGGUUUAAUUCGAUGCAACGCGAAGAACCUUACCUGGUCUUGACAUCCACGGAAGUUUUCAGAGAUGAGAAUGUGCCUUCGGGAAC